GAGCAAUUGCAUUUCAGACGCCAUCAUGUCAGAACAGGAGUGCUUGAGGGUCUGCGUGGAAAGGUGGUUCCCCUUCGUUUAUGUUUACGGUCCCUAUCCGAACUUCACAAUAUUCGGGUCCUUGAUUGAAGUUAUCGACACCAUCGCGGAUAAGCUCGGCGUCUGUUACGAAUUUGUCUUCACGGAGGAACGCAUUUAUGGAUGGGAAAAUAAUGGCACAUGGAAUGGGCUGAUGGGUAUAUUGACAA
RNAcentral lists this long non-coding RNA (248 nucleotides) under Penaeus japonicus. RNAcentral's name for it is "uncharacterized LOC122254465". Lineage: Eukaryota; Metazoa; Arthropoda; Malacostraca; Decapoda; Penaeidae. The record is from RNAcentral.